CCGACUCAUAAUCGGUUGGUCCCCAGUUCAAAUCUGGGAGGGGCCA
RNAcentral lists this transfer RNA (46 nucleotides) under Idiomarina fontislapidosi. RNAcentral's name for it is "tRNA-Met". The record is from RNAcentral. Lineage: Bacteria; Pseudomonadati; Pseudomonadota; Gammaproteobacteria; Alteromonadales; Idiomarinaceae.